ACGCGCAUGUGUGGACUCGUGCAUGAACGACAAGGAUACUUUCCCUUCUUUGAUUACGUCGAAUUAGUUGAUUAGGGUUAACACGUGGGCAAUAUCUUGUUUGCCGGUGAGACAAUUGGAAGACCUGUGGAUCUGAGGAAAACAAAUUGAAAUGACCUGCAGUUGUCUAGUCCCUGAGCUGGAAGAAGACAGACGAAUUAUAAUUACAAGUGGUUUCAGCCAAGCUCACACAGUGUGGAGUCGGAGGAAGACCUUUCAUAUUCUGGCUUGAUCAUCACCAGGCAGCGAUGAAACGGGACCCCCUAAUCGACUGAACCCCGACCCGCAAACACACAUCGCCCUGUGGAGCUUCCAACCACAGUGGGCACCGGCACGCACCACAGCAUGGUGCCUUACCCGAGUGAGCCACCUAGUAAGAGUGGCCUAUUUGGUAAUUAGGUAAUUACUGAAUCUGGCAAAGAUAUGGUAAUGCCGGGAGAGAGUUGAAAACUUCUCCUCCUGAGAGGGUGCGGCUCUCCCCCACAUAGAGAGAACACCCAAAAUGUUUGUAGAUAUUCAUAAAAUAUUCAGAAGAGCUCACAGAUACAGUAAAUCCAAAAUUCAAAUAUAGGGCAAUUACUGGAACCCCCCCCCCCCCUCCCUCUGCAGGAUCCAUCAAUAAUCCAUCUGCAGCCCACACACACAGUCAGUAACUUUGUUCGCUCUAUAUUUCAUUUUGAACGCGUCCUCUUGACUGCCCCACUGGUCUGUAGGCCUGGGAUGGCUUCAGCACCAUGGACAGCGGCCUCCUCACCUACAAUGCAGGCUGAGCAUGGCUGAGCUUCCCCUGCAGACCUGCACAGCUGGGGAUGGUCAAAAGGCUAAUCUGCCUCAGCUGCUGAGGUUAACCAAGCUUAGCUUUUCCGAACCUGCAGGAUUUCCCUGGCCAGAUGUGCUGGAUUUGUAUGUCCAUUUAUUUUUAGUUUUUUUUACCCAUUUAAAAGUGAAUAAAAUGGCAUUGGGAUUAUUUACCAAUGUUUCUGUGUUUGGGGUUUUCACCUAUUCUCACCUGUCACACCUGAUGUCAUGUCACCCACUUUGCUAAUUCUCACAUUGUAAACAGUGGUGAUUACUUCACUGCUUUUGGCUGCUGGGGGGUGGAAUGGUUAAGGUGACGUUUUAAAAAGGUCCCCUAUUGGGACCAGUUUUCAAAGCUCUGGUACAGAGCCUGGCCUUUGAUUUGGCCCCUCUUGCCUCUGCCUUUGCUGAAAUUAACACCCCCCCCCCCCCACCCCACCUCCCACCCCCACCCCCGCAUCGCCCCCCACCC
This is a long non-coding RNA of Anguilla rostrata (American eel), 1309 nucleotides long. RefSeq lists it as uncharacterized. The transcript has 2 exons. The record is from RefSeq and is a predicted model, not a curated record. NCBI's taxonomy places the organism in Eukaryota, Metazoa, Chordata, Actinopteri, Anguilliformes, Anguillidae.